This 478-nucleotide ribosomal RNA is filed under the name Cucamba psolidiformis. Its description in RNAcentral is "partial 16S ribosomal RNA". It matches the Rfam family "Bacterial large subunit ribosomal RNA", at positions 1811 to 2557 of the family's 2925-position model. Lineage: Eukaryota; Metazoa; Echinodermata; Holothuroidea; Dendrochirotida; Cucumariidae. The record is from RNAcentral.
AAACAUAGCCCCUUGAAUAUAUAAAGGGUAAAGCCUGCCCAAUGGAAAUAAUCUAAAUGGCCGCGGUAUCUUAACCGUGCAAAGGUAGCAUAAUCAUUUGUCUCUUAAAUAGAGACUUGUAUGAACGGCACAACAUUUUCUUACUGUCUCCUCUCUCCUACUUAUAAAUUUCUACUAACGUGAAGAAGCGUUACUAAAAAAGAAAGACGAGAAGACCCUGUCGAGCUUAAGCCUCUUAAAGAGACCAAAUUCUUUUAAGAUUAAAUUAUCUUUAUAGCGGCAUUGGUUGGGGCAACCAUUGAGAAAAUUUAUCCUCAAGAAAAUAAAAAGAUUCUAAAUCACUUUAAUUAUAAAGAACCAUCAACAAUGGCAAACAGAAAAAGUUACCGCAGGGAUAACAGCGUUAUCUCCUUUAAGAGUUCACAUUGACAAGGAGGAUUGCGACCUCGAUGUUGGAUUGGGGCUACCUAAGGGUGCA